Molecule: transfer RNA, 61 nt
Filed under: Rectidens sumatrensis
Lineage: Eukaryota; Metazoa; Mollusca; Bivalvia; Unionida; Unionidae
Description: tRNA-Gly
Source: RNAcentral
ACACUAGUAGUAUACAUCGUACAAUUGCCUUCCAAGCAGAAAGCCCCAAAGGGCUAGUGUA